Molecule: long non-coding RNA, 1317 nt
Organism: Homo sapiens (human)
Lineage: Eukaryota; Metazoa; Chordata; Mammalia; Primates; Hominidae
Source: Ensembl
GGUCUUGGAGGGGCCCAGUGGGGGCUUCUAUUGAGAGAUGGUUAGUACGGGCAAGAACAGACAGUUAAACUAGCCACGCAUCCAUCAGAGUCAGUCAGGAACACAGGCACCUCACCAGUUACCUGAACGGGAAGAAUUUAACCCAUUCUGUCUUGGAGAGGCAGAAACAGCACAGUUAAGGCUGAGGAAUCCUGUGAGGUGACCUGGUCCAUACCACACCCAAACAGACAAAGAAUCACCAUGUGGUCUCUUCUGUGGUAUCUCUUCUGUGGUGUCUCUUAUAUCUCAGGUAUAAGAUUGAGAAUAAAAAUAACUUGGAGAAAUUGACUACUCCACUUUUUAAAAAAUCUGCUCUCUAAUUUACUAGAGAUGUCUUUUGGAUUAAGGAGUAAAAAGAAGCAGGAUAUUGAUUGCAGAAAAUCAGAAAAGUCAGAGAAGAACACUGAAAAUCUUAAAACCACCUAUAAUUCCAUCACAAAAAGGUCUGGGAUACAUGUGUGGAACGUGCAGGUUUGUUACAUAGGUAUACAUGUGCGAUGGUGGUUUCCUGCACCCACCAACCCAUCAUCUACAAUUAUGAAAACUUUCUCUUUAAUCAAGGAUUUUAACAUGAACAGACUUCUUGAAUAAUAUGGAAAGUUUCCAAUAUAUUGAAUCAUAAAUCCACAAGUCACCAUACAUACAACACCCGGCAGGAAAAAAACAAAAACAGCAAGUUUACACGAUACCUGUAACAGCCAUGAUCUUAAUCUCAGACGCUUCUUCCAGCUACCAAGUGUGUUCUGGAUACAGAGCACACCAUGGCUUCUGGGGUCACACUCAGCUGAGGCUGUGGCCCACAGAGCACUCAUCUCUCUGGGCUGUGGUGGUGGUGGCUCUACUGAAGAAGCAAAACUGUUACCAGCACAUUCAAAAAGCGUGUUGAACAUCUUUUAAAUAUCAAAGUGAGAAACAAGAAGGCAAAAUAAUAGUGUUAUCAGAAAGAUGUUAGGAAGCAAGGACAGCUGUGUAAAGCUCGAGGCUGGAAGGUGACUUGCCAACUUCAUUUACCAUCUGGCUUCUUGGGUAGCGGGCACUGGAAUAGUAAGAUGUGAGGCUCUGGUUCAUGGUUCAUAUAAUGGACUCAUCCCUGACUCUGCUGAAUGCCAAGAUUCCUCCAUUCAGAUUCAUACUCUGCUGAACUCCAAGAUUCCUCCAUUCAAUUCAAGUGGGUUUUAGGGACCAGCUUGGCUAUGUCCUUGGGCAACAUGACAUGCCAAUACUCAAACCCCUCAUCAUUGUAUUUCUCCAAAUAGUAAAUUUAUUUAUGCGAUAUGA